UACAGAGGGUGCAAGCGUUAAUCGGAGUUACUGGGCGUAAAGGGCGCGUAGGUGGUUAUGUAAGUGAGAUGUGAAAUCCCUGGGCUUAACCUAGGAACUGCAUCUUAUACUGCAUAACUGGAGUACUGUAGAGGGUAGUGGAAUUUCCGGUGUAGCGGUGAAAUGCGUAGAGAUCGGGAAGGAACACCAGUGGCGAAGGCGGCUACCUGGACAGAUACUGACACUGAGGCGCGAGAGCGUGGGGAGCAAACAGG
This 254-nucleotide ribosomal RNA is filed under the name uncultured bacterium. RNAcentral describes it as "partial 16S ribosomal RNA". It matches the Rfam family "Bacterial small subunit ribosomal RNA", at positions 524 to 776 of the family's 1533-position model. The record is from RNAcentral.